CGUGCAGGCGGUGUCGUAAGUCGUAUGUGAAAGCGCUCAGGCUCAACCGGGCGAGGCCAUGCGAAACUGCGGCGCUCGAGGCAGGUAGAGGCGUGUGGAAUUCCGGGUGUAGUGGUGAAAUGCGUAGAGAUCCGGAGGAACACCAGUGGCGAAGGCGACACGCUGGGCCUGACCUGACGCUAAGACGCGAAAGCAUGGGGAGCGAACG
RNAcentral lists this ribosomal RNA (208 nucleotides) under uncultured bacterium. Its description in RNAcentral is "partial 16S ribosomal RNA". It matches the Rfam family "Bacterial small subunit ribosomal RNA", at positions 568 to 774 of the family's 1533-position model. The record is from RNAcentral.